RNAcentral lists this transfer RNA (73 nucleotides) under Streptococcus pneumoniae. RNAcentral's name for it is "tRNA-Gly(tcc)". It matches the Rfam family "tRNA". From Rfam's summary of the family: Transfer RNA (tRNA) molecules are approximately 80 nucleotides in length. Their secondary structure includes four short double-helical elements and three loops (D, anti-codon, and T loops). Lineage: Bacteria; Bacillati; Bacillota; Bacilli; Lactobacillales; Streptococcaceae. The record is from RNAcentral. RNAcentral also lists the same sequence under 1 other name.
AGCGGGUGUAGUUUAGUGGUAAAACUACAGCCUUCCAAGCUGUUGUCGCGAGUUCAAUUCUCGUCACCCGCUU